CACUCCUACGGGAGGCAGCAGUGGGGAAUUUUGGACAAUGGGCGAAAGCCUGAUCCAGCAAUGCCGCGUGUGUGAAGAAGGCCUUCGGGUUGUAAAGCACUUUUGUCCGGAAAGAAAUCCUUGGCUCUAAUACAGUCGGGGGAUGACGGUACCGGAAGAAUAAGCACCGGCUAACUACGUGCCAGCAGCCGCGGUAAUACGUAGGGUGCGAGCGUUAAUCGGAAUUACUGGGCGUAAAGCGUGCGCAGGCGGUUUGCUAAGACCGAUGUGAAAUCCCGGGGCUCAACCUGGGAACUGCAUUGGUGACUGGCAGGCUAGAGUAUGGCAGAGGGGGGUAGAAUUCCACGUGUAGCAGUGAAAUGCGUAGAGAUGUGGAGGAAUACCGAUGGCGAAGGCAGCCCCCUGGGCCAAUACUGACGCUCAUGCACGAAAGCGUGGGGAGCAAACAGGAUUAGAAACCCGAGUAGUCCCAUGAU
Molecule: ribosomal RNA, 476 nt
Filed under: uncultured organism
Description: partial 16S ribosomal RNA
Rfam family: Bacterial small subunit ribosomal RNA
Source: RNAcentral